GACGAACGCUGGCGGCGUGCUUAACACAUGCAAGUCGAACGGAAAGGCCCUGCUUUUGUGGGGUGCUCGAGUGGCGAACGGGUGAGUAACACGUGAGUAACCUGCCCUUGACUUUGGGAUAACUUCAGGAAACUGGGGCUAAUACCGGAUAGGAGCUCCUGCUGCAUGGUGGGGGGUGGAAAGUUUCGGCGGGUGGGGAUGGACUCGCGGCUUAUCAGCUUGUUGGUGGGGGAGUGGCUGACCAAGGCUUUGACGGGUAGCCGGCCUGAGAGGGUGACCGGCCACAUUGGGACUGAGAGACGGCCCAGACUCCUACGGGAGGCAGCAGUGGGGAAUAUUGCACAAUGGGCGGAAGCCUGAUGCAGCAACGCCGCGUGCGGGAUGACGGCCUUCUGGUUGUAAACCGCUUUCGCCUGUGACGAAGCGUGAGUGACGGUAAUGGGUAAAGAAGCACCGGCUAACUACGUG
RNAcentral lists this ribosomal RNA (468 nucleotides) under uncultured bacterium. RNAcentral's name for it is "partial 16S ribosomal RNA". It matches the Rfam family "Bacterial small subunit ribosomal RNA", at positions 28 to 507 of the family's 1533-position model. The record is from RNAcentral.